Long non-coding RNA from Brienomyrus brachyistius, 402 nucleotides. RefSeq lists it as uncharacterized. NCBI's taxonomy places the organism in Eukaryota, Metazoa, Chordata, Actinopteri, Osteoglossiformes, Mormyridae. The record is from RefSeq and is a predicted model, not a curated record. The transcript is spliced from 4 exons.
AGACAAGAGUUGGGUGUACAGUACAGUGUAGCAGCUCCCAACCCCUGGUCCCCGGACCAGUACCAGUCUGUGGCCAGUAUCCUACCAGGCCACGGAACGCUGAGGGUUUUGUGAAGAGAGAGCUGCUGUACAUUUAUGGGAGACUACUGGAACUUCAGGAUCAGAGUGCAGGGCUGCAGACAAAGUGAAUCAGACUGCUGGAGAUGUCUUUGCAUCUGAAGGAGGAUCAGUGAUAAUUAACUGUAACUAUGAAACUGGCACAACCGGCAACUACUACCUCUUCUGGUACAUCCAAUAUCCCAAUGAGGCUCCGAAGUACAUGCUGAGAAGAGGGAAUUAUGAUAAAGGUGCUAUUGCUGAAGAGUAUGAGGAGAGAUUUGAUGCCAAUCUGGACACAACUGC